CUGACACUGAGAAUGUGACACACCUACUCAUCAACACUGAUGCCAAAGGGAAUCAAUUUGCACUUAGCGGAGAGCUGGGCAGGGCCUUAUAUGUGCCAGUGAAGGAUCCAUCCAGCUUGUGACUCAAUCAUUUCAGCAAACAGACUCUAAGAUCUAGAUAGGAAAAGAAGGGCUCACUGCCAAGAUCAUGACUGAUAAAAAAUAUAAG
This is a non-coding RNA of Ictidomys tridecemlineatus (thirteen-lined ground squirrel), 208 nucleotides long. The record is from RefSeq and is a predicted model, not a curated record. NCBI's taxonomy places the organism in Eukaryota, Metazoa, Chordata, Mammalia, Rodentia, Sciuridae.